This 93-nucleotide non-coding RNA is filed under the name uncultured Sporofaciens sp. Its description in RNAcentral is "TPP riboswitch (THI element)". It matches the Rfam family "TPP riboswitch aptamer (THI element)", at positions 10 to 89 of the family's 105-position model. Rfam says of the family: Vitamin B(1) in its active form thiamin pyrophosphate (TPP) is an essential coenzyme that is synthesised by coupling of pyrimidine and thiazole moieties in bacteria. The previously detected thiamin-regulatory element, thi box was extended, resulting in a new, highly conserved RNA secondary structure, the THI element, which is widely distributed in eubacteria and also occurs in some archaea. The record is from RNAcentral. Lineage: Bacteria; Bacillati; Bacillota; Clostridia; Lachnospirales; Lachnospiraceae.
ACAAAAGGGGAGCCUGUAAGGAUUAGGCUGAGAGUGGGCUGAUACCGCCCUUACCCAUGAACCUGAUUUGGAUAAUGCCAACGUAGGGAUAUA